AGCAAUUGUGUGUGUGUCUUUGAUUUGUAACAAAGCUUUACAGACAAGUGCAAGCAGUAAAUUAUCUUUUACAACCUAGAACUCAUUGUUGAGUAUGAGUUUUUGGUACACAUAAGAAGGAAUAUG
Molecule: small nucleolar RNA, 126 nt
Organism: Perognathus longimembris pacificus (Pacific pocket mouse)
Lineage: Eukaryota; Metazoa; Chordata; Mammalia; Rodentia; Heteromyidae
Product: small nucleolar RNA SNORA40
Exons: 1
Source: RefSeq, a predicted model, not a curated record